Molecule: long non-coding RNA, 550 nt
Organism: Oncorhynchus keta (chum salmon)
Lineage: Eukaryota; Metazoa; Chordata; Actinopteri; Salmoniformes; Salmonidae
Exons: 3
Source: RefSeq, a predicted model, not a curated record
UGAACUAUACUGUGUAGGGUGUAGGGCGCUGGUCAACAGUAGUGAACUAUACUGUGUAGGUGAUCUCAGACGUAUAGGGUGUAGGGCGCUGGUCAACAGUAGUGAACUCUACUGUGUAGGUGAUCUCAGGCGUAUAGGGUGUAGGGCGCUGGUCAACAGUAGUGAACUCUACUGUGUAGGUGAUCUCAGACGUAUAGGGUGUAGGGCGCUGGUCAACAGUAGUGAACUCUACUGUGUAGGUGAUCUCAGACGUAUAGGGUGUAGGGCGCUGGUCAACAGUAGUGAACUCUACUGUGUAGGUGAUCUCAGACGUAUAGGGUGUAGGGCGCUGGUCAACAGUAGUGAACUCUACUGUGUAGGUGAUCUCAGACGUAUAGGGUGUAGGGCGCUGGUCAACAGUAGUGAACUCUACUGUGUAGGUGAUCUCAGACGUAUAGGGUGUAGGGCGCUGGUCAACAGUAGUGAACUCUACUGUGUAGGUGAUCUCAGACGUAUAGGGUGUAGGGCGCUGGUCAACAGUAGUGAACUCUAAUGUGUAGGUGAUCUCAGA